This is a long non-coding RNA of Brassica napus (rape), 1360 nucleotides long. RefSeq lists it as uncharacterized. The record is from RefSeq and is a predicted model, not a curated record. The transcript is spliced from 6 exons. Lineage: Eukaryota; Viridiplantae; Streptophyta; Magnoliopsida; Brassicales; Brassicaceae.
AAUUAGAUGGACCAACAUAUUUCUCUAAUAAUUCUAAGAAUCAUCCUAGUGAUGACAUGUGGUUACAAAAAUAAGUUGUAAUGUUUCACAAAUAAUAUAUAGGGGAUAGGUUUUCUUUCUCUCCUAAAGCCAUCCACGUCGGAUGACAGCGCAACAAUUCGGUCUUCCUUCAGCCGACACAUGUCCCGUUAAAUGAAACGCAGCGUGUUAUGGCAUCCGUCGGGCUUCGCUUGGGCUUUGUCUCGCGUUUUGUUUUAGCGGCCCAACGACCAGCGACGCGACCACAGGAGAGAAAGAAACCCUAACCCGUCCUGAUUCACGCCUUCGUGUUCUUCGUUUCUCUUCGAUCGGCGGACGGGGCGAUCCAGUUUCUGUAACGUCUGGUAGGUGUUCAUCGGUUGUGGAUGCGAUGCUGCUGCGGUACUGGGAGGCUAGAAAUGUCAAGGGUGGUGGGGAGCUUAUGUGGGUCACAUGCUAAUGUUGGAUAUUAAAUUGAGUGGUUUUCGUUUCUCAGUCUUCACUAUUUUGAUUGUUCCGAGUUAUUAUACCGAUCGUAUCGAUUUCCAGUCAAUUAGCAUUGGUUCUGUAUUUUUUCUCCCCUUUAAUUAGAUGGGCUGUUAUUUAGCAUUGAGAUCGAUUUCCAGUCAAUUAGAAUCGAUUCUGUAUUUUUUUUUUCCUAUUCUAUGAAUAUAUAUAUAUAUAUAUAUAUAUAGAUCUCAGUGGUGAAACCUCAGCCAGGAGAUAGGAUACUGAACGCAUGUGCUGCUCCUGGAGGGAAGACCCUUUUCAUGGCAUCUUGCUAGAAACGCCAAGGCUGAUGCUAUGUACGUGAAUGAAGGACGGCUAAGAAUUCUUGGGGAGACAGCUAAAUCACACCAAGUUGCUGGACUUAUCACAACCAUUCAUUCCGAUCUACGUGUCUUCGCUGAGACAAAAGAGGUACAAUAUGAUAAAUUGUUGCUUGAUGCCCCGUGUUCUGGAAUCGGUGUCCUCUCUAAGAGAGCGGACUUGCACUGGAACUGUAAACUGGAGGGCAUGGAAGAACUUAAGAAUCUAUAGGAUGAGCUUCUUGAUUCUGCCUCCAACCGGGUGGGUUCUUGAUAUACAGUACUUGCUCGAUAGACCCUGAAGAAAAUCAAGGAAGAGUCGAAGCGUUUCUCCUAAGACAUCCUGUAAGAAUCUUUAUAGUCCCUUUGCUUUAGUUUCAAAUGUCGAUAUUUAUAAGUUAUCUCUCUGCUUGCUUUCAUAUGAGUUCUCGGUAGAUCCAGUAGACAGAUUAGUACCAUCAAGUUUUGUAACGUCGCAAGGCGUCUUUUUAUCCAACCCAGUGAAACACUCCUUGGAUGGAGCGUUUGCAGUC